MicroRNA precursor from Schistosoma mansoni, 78 nucleotides. It matches the Rfam family "mir-3492 microRNA precursor family". NCBI's taxonomy places the organism in Eukaryota, Metazoa, Platyhelminthes, Trematoda, Strigeidida, Schistosomatidae. The record is from Rfam.
AGCUUUUUGAAUCCGUGCUGAGAUUUCGUCAGACACCAACCUAUUAGGACUGAUCAGACUUCUGAGAUAAGUGAAGUU